RNAcentral lists this ribosomal RNA (408 nucleotides) under uncultured bacterium. RNAcentral's name for it is "partial 16S ribosomal RNA". It matches the Rfam family "Bacterial small subunit ribosomal RNA", at positions 28 to 526 of the family's 1533-position model. The record is from RNAcentral.
GACGAACGCUGGCGGCGUGCUUAACACAUGCAAGUCGAACGAAGUGGCGAACGGGUGAGUAACGCGUAAUCAACCUGCCCUUCAGGGGGGGACAACAGUUGGAAACGACUGCUAAUACCGCAUACUGAAGGAGGGGAUUGCGUCUGAUUAGCUAGUUGGAGGGGUAACGGCCUACCAAGGCGAUGAUCAGUAGGCGGGCUGGGAGGGUGAACUGGCAAAUUGGGAAUUGGGAACGGCCCAGACUCCUACGGGGAGCAGCAGUGGGGAAUCUUCCGAAAUGGAGGAAAGUCUGACGGAGCAAAGCCGCGUGAGUGGUGACGGCCUUCGGGUUGUAAAGCUCUGUUAAUCGGGACGCGGUACCGGAAUAGAAAGCAACGGCUAACUACGUGCCAGCAGCCGCGGUAAUAC